GCCCCUCCUACCAUCACCAGCACAGCAUAAAGAGAGAGACUCCGCCCACUCUGGAUCUAAAACACUGCCAGCAAAACCUACACCACCACAGUGGGUGGUAUCUCCAGCAGAAAAAGCCAAAUAUGAUGACUUAUUCGCCAAGACAGACAGUGACAUGGAUGGCUUGGUAUCUGGUGCUGAGAUCCGAGAUAUAUUUCUAAAGACUGGUUUGCCAUCUGCCACUUUGGCCCGCAUUUGGGAGCUUUGUGAUAUAGGAGACGUUGGGAAACUGAGCCGAGAUCAGUUUGCAUUAGCUCUAUAUCUAAUCAAUCAGAAGCUGUCAAAGGGAAUAGACCCACCCCAGACACUCUCUCCAGAAAUGAUCCCUCCUUCUGAUAGACUGGCAC
This is a long non-coding RNA of Sinocyclocheilus anshuiensis, 386 nucleotides long. RefSeq lists it as uncharacterized. The transcript is spliced from 3 exons. The record is from RefSeq and is a predicted model, not a curated record. NCBI's taxonomy places the organism in Eukaryota, Metazoa, Chordata, Actinopteri, Cypriniformes, Cyprinidae.